This is a long non-coding RNA of Panthera uncia (snow leopard), 823 nucleotides long. RefSeq lists it as uncharacterized. The transcript has 2 exons. Lineage: Eukaryota; Metazoa; Chordata; Mammalia; Carnivora; Felidae. The record is from RefSeq and is a predicted model, not a curated record.
GAGGCUUCAUCUCAUCCAAUUCAACUGGAUUCAAGCCUAUUCACAGCCACUGCCUAGGGCACCGUGGUAAGGAGGAUUGUGAGGUCACAUUAGGGCUAAGCAGAAAGGACCACAUGAGACUCCAAGGUCUGCCAUGAGCUUGGAAGGUGAGUAACCAGGCGAGCACCUGAGGACCUCCACUGCGGAUGAUCUGAGGAGUCCCACUUCCUGAGGCCACUGUGUUGUCAGGAUGCCCAACUUAGUCCCACUGAGGGGCCAAGUGGAGGAGAAGAGGGAAACAGAGACAUCAGAUGUGGGGUUCUGUGGGGUUUUUUUGGUAUUUGGAAGAGCAAUUAGUUGUUAUAAUGAACCGGAAGUACAAGAUUUCACCAAAACAGCAACAGUUGACAGAAUAUGGCUGAACUUAAAUGAAACUUUCAAGGGAAAUAAGUGUGAAACAAAGCCCAUAGGAGUGAAGAAGUGCACUGGUUAGGAACACACGUAAAGAUAGUAGCGUCUAAGUGUGGGUAUCUUCUGACUCUCCCUCUGACUGCAGUCAGAUUGCCAUCAUGCUUCCACAACCCUCUCCCUUCUGAAGCUUCUGCAAAACCACACAGCUUCUCUGUACUGCAGAUGCAAGCCAACCCAAGAGCACCCCUUUAGGCAUGCUGUAUAGAGCCAAGAGGAGAGUUCAUAAAUCUCAUAGCCAACCAAGGGCCUCGAUUAUCCUCUAUGUUCCAGCCCCAGGAGAUGCCAUGGGGAGCAGAGAUUUCCACCCAAGCCCUUUCCAAAUUACAGAAUCUCUAACUUGGGGUGGUUGUUACAUAGCACUAUGUCAACUUUU